This 510-nucleotide ribosomal RNA is filed under the name uncultured bacterium. RNAcentral's name for it is "partial 16S ribosomal RNA". It matches the Rfam family "Bacterial small subunit ribosomal RNA", at positions 28 to 507 of the family's 1533-position model. The record is from RNAcentral.
GACGAACGCUGGCGGCGUGCUUAACACAUGCAAGUCGAACGAAGAGCGAUGGAAGCUUGCUUCUUUCAAUCUUAGUGGCGAACGGGUGAGUAACGCGUAAUCAACCUGCCCUUCAGAGGGGGACAACAGUUGGAAACGACUGCUAAUACCGCAUACGAUCUAAUCUCGGCAUCGAGGAUAGAUGAAAGGUGGCCUCUACAUGUAAGCUAUCACUGAAGGAGGGGAUUGCGUCUGAUUAGCUAGUUGGAGGGGUAACGGCCCACCAAGGCGAUGAUCAGUAGCCGGUCUGAGAGGAUGAACGGCCACAUUGGGACUGAGACACGGCCCAGACUCCUACGGGAGGCAGCAGUGGGGAAUCUUCCGCAAUGGACGAAAGUCUGACGGAGCAACGCCGCGUGAGUGAUGACGGCCUUCGGGUUGUAAAGCUCUGUUAAUCGGGACGAAAGGCCUUCUUGCGAAUAGUGAGAAGGAUUGACGGUACCGGAAUAGAAAGCCACGGCUAACUACGUG